GACGGACGCUGGCGGCGUGCUUAACACAUGCAAGUCGAACGGAAAGGCCCUGCUUUUGUUGGGUGCACGAGUGGCGAACGGGUGAGUAACACGUGAGUAACCUGCCCUUGACUUUGGGAUAACUUCAGGAAACUGGGGCUAAUACCGGAUAGGAGCUCCUGCUGCAUGGUGGGGGUUGGAAAGUUUCGGCGGUUGGGGAUGGACUCGCGGCUUAUCAGCUUGUUGGUGGGGUAGUGGCUUACCAAGGCUUUGACGGGUAGCCGGCCUGAGAGGGUGACCGGCCACAUUGGGACUGGGAUACGGCCCAGACUCCUACGGGACGCAGCAGUGGGGAAUAUUGCACAAUGGGCGGAAGCCUGAUGCAGCAACGCCGCGUGCGGGAUGACGGCCUUCGGGUUGUAAACCGCUUUCGCCUGUGACGAAGCGUGAGUGACGGUAAUGGGUAAAGAAGCAACGGCUAACUACGUG
RNAcentral lists this ribosomal RNA (468 nucleotides) under uncultured bacterium. RNAcentral describes it as "partial 16S ribosomal RNA". It matches the Rfam family "Bacterial small subunit ribosomal RNA", at positions 28 to 507 of the family's 1533-position model. The record is from RNAcentral.